Molecule: ribosomal RNA, 301 nt
Filed under: uncultured bacterium
Lineage: Bacteria
Description: partial 16S ribosomal RNA
Rfam family: Bacterial small subunit ribosomal RNA
Source: RNAcentral
CAGUCGCCGCGGGAGUACAGAGGGUGCAAGCGUUAAUCGGAAUUACUGGGCGUAAAGCGCGCGUAGGUGGUUUGUUAAGUUGGAUGUGAAAGCCCCGGGCUCAACCUGGGAACUGCAUCCAAAACUGGCAAGCUAGAGUACGGUAGAGGGUGGUGGAAUUUCCUGUGUAGCGGUGAAAUGCGUAGAUAUAGGAAGGAACACCAGUGGCGAAGGCGACCACCUGGACUGAUACUGACACUGAGGUGCGAAAGCGUGGGGAGCAAACAGGAUUAGAUACCCCCGUAGUCCCUGUCUCUUAUAC